CAAUAGCGUAUAUUAAAGUUGUUGCAGUUAAAAAGCUCGUAGUUGGAUUUGUGGUGUACUUCGGCGGCCCGUCACUAUGUGAUGGAGCUUGCUGAAGUCGCCAUCCUUGGGUGGAUCCUGUGUGGCAUUAAGUUGUCGUGCAGGGGAUGCCCAUCGUUUACUGUGAAAAAUUAGAGUGUUCAAAGCAGGCUUAUGCCGUUGAAUAUAUUAGCAUGGAAUAAUAAGAUAGGACCUUGGUACUAUUUUGUUGGUUUGCGCACCAAGGUAAUGAUUAAUAGGGACAGUUGGGGGUAUUCGUAUUUCAUUGUCAGAGGUGAAAUUCUUGGAUUUUUGAAAGACGAACUACUGCGAAAGCAUUUACCAAGGAUGUUUUCAUUAAUCAAGAACGAAAGUUAGGGGAUCGAAGAUGAUCAGAUACCGU
Molecule: ribosomal RNA, 421 nt
Filed under: uncultured eukaryote
Lineage: Eukaryota
Description: SSU rRNA
Rfam family: Eukaryotic small subunit ribosomal RNA
Source: RNAcentral